GAAAAAUGAAUUAACUCAACUCGUACAGUGAUUACGUGUUGAGAAGGCGCCUUGGUGACACUGAAAUAAAUGUUAUUGAAAUGAAUUCCAGCUGCUUCUUUUUCCAGUUGUCAGAGAGGCUACUAGACAGUUAAAAUACACACGUGGCUUGUGGUGCUUUUCUAUUGGACAGCGUUGCUCCAGAUAAAAGAAUGCAAGUUAGAUUGUGUGUGUGUGUGUGUGUGUGUGUGUGUGUGUGUGUGUGUGUGUGUGUGUGUGUGUAAGAGGACUGCCCUGUGCUACACCCCCAACAACGAUAUUCGAUAUUCGAGGUUUUGGAGAAAAGCUUUGCAAGUUCUCUAAAGUAGAACUGAUUACAUCCAUGGUUCUGCUAUCCAGACCGACCAAGGCCGAGCUGUGGGAGUGGGAGUGGCCGGGGCCUCCCCGCAGUGGGGCGGCUACAGGUAUCUCCCGCCACCGCCACCACCACCGCCACCGGCAGAGGCGGAUCCGGGUGAGGGACGGACUCCGGACUCCGGGGUGCAGCUGGGGACAGCGACGCGCUUCCUGCCCGGGAAGGGCCCGAUCGCCGGCAAUAGCAGUCCGGCAGCUGCCUGCUUGGCUUUUUAACACCGGGACUUUGGAGAGGAAACAACUAACAACCCGGGCCCUCUGUUCCUCGAGGGGUUUGAAAUGAGUCAGGGAAACACACGCUUCGGAGGGCAAGCGCUUGUGAUCCCAACCCCAGGAGAGGUGACCAGUAGGCAGGAGGACGCCCGAUCAAGGCCCGUCUGAACUGAACUACACACUACAGCAUGCAUUAAGGACACCUUGGGGACUGGAGAGAUGGUUCAGCAGUUAAGAACAACGACUGCUCUUCCAACGGUCCUGAGUUCAAAUCCCAGCAUCCACAUAGUGGCUCACAACCAUCCAUCCGUAAUGAGAUCCGAUGACCUCUUCUGUUGCGUCUGAAGACAGCUACGCGACCGGGUGACCAGGGCCCACAGCUACAGUGUACUCACACAUAUAUAUAAUAAAUAAAUAAAUCUUAAAAAAAAAAAAGGGACACCUUGGGACCUUGGGAGAGCUGGCUCUCUCCUCCCACCUUGUGGGUCCCCGGGGUCAGCCUCCAGUCUUCAGGCUUGGCGGCAUCUGCCCUCACCUGCUGAGCCAUCUCAUCUAAAUCCUAUGUUUUAUAGUUAAUCCUAAAAAAAAAAAUCCUCCAAAAGUCUAUACAACCAAAUUUGUUAAACAUCAUUUAUUGCUUAAU
Molecule: long non-coding RNA, 1249 nt
Organism: Apodemus sylvaticus (European woodmouse)
Lineage: Eukaryota; Metazoa; Chordata; Mammalia; Rodentia; Muridae
Exons: 3
Source: RefSeq, a predicted model, not a curated record